AUGUAAGCACACGCAUCAUUAUUACAAGUAAUUUUAUUUAUUAAACUGUUUGGUGAAUGCUCCAAUUUGUGUUAAUCAAUUAAUUUUAUAAUUAAUAUGGGAGCUUAAUCUGUUUACCAUUUAUCAAGAGAUGAACUAUCUCUUUUAAAACUUUUUAACGAUAAUAAUAGCACGAAAUUAUUGUAACCCUAAUUUUUUUUCGGAGCUAUUUACUACAUUUAUAUUGAUAAAACAUCUUAGUAUUACGUACACAUGCGAGGAAGGUUUUUUUCAAUUAAUUCUCAAUUUUAGAAGUACGUGUAUAAGGCUGAUCUAUCGUGAAAAGAUGCCCAACUGUAUGAGGUUACUCCACCUUGAACUCCGAGAUAGUAAAGUCCAUGAUCAUACAGAUUGGCCAAAAUUUGAUAAAUAUUUGAAUAAAGUUUUCACCAGCACCAGAGGAUCAGAUAUUCAAGGUUAUCAAGAUGAUUGCAGAAUGAACAGCUUCCACAGUUCAUUGAUUUUUUUGUUGAUUCAAAAGAUGAAAACUUGGAAAUAUCACAAAAAAAUAAGAAUUAAGUUCUUGCGAAAUUCUCACUAUGCAAAAACUAAGUAAGUUUUUUUUAUUAUUUUUCAUAAAUAAAUAGGUUUAAAAAUAAAGUUGCGUGAAAGCGAUUUUAUUACAUCGAAUUAACUAUGUUUAUUAGGGUGUGUCAUGUUAGGGCAACUUUUUUUUCAAC
Long non-coding RNA from Microplitis mediator, 719 nucleotides. RefSeq lists it as uncharacterized. Lineage: Eukaryota; Metazoa; Arthropoda; Insecta; Hymenoptera; Braconidae. The transcript has 3 exons. The record is from RefSeq and is a predicted model, not a curated record.